UACGGAGGAUGCGAGCGUUAUCCGGAUUUAUUGGGUUUAAAGGGUGCGUAGGUGGGACUGUAAGUCAGCGGUGAAAAAACGGAGCUUAACUCCGUCCGUGCCGAUGAAACUGCAGUUCUUGAGUAUGGAAGAGGAAGGCGGAAUUCGUAGUGUAGCGGUGAAAUGCAUAGAUAUUACGAAGAACCCCGAUAGCGCAGGCAGCCUUCCAGUCCAUCACUGACACUGAAGCACGAAAGUGUGGGUAUCAAACAGGAUUAGAUACCCUGGUAGUCCACACAGUAAACGAUGAAUACUCACUGUUUGCGAUACACGGUAAGCGGUCAAGCGAAAGCGUUAAGUAUUCCACCUGGGGAGUACGCCGGCAACGGUGAAACUCAAAGGAAUUGACGGGGGCCCGCACAAGCGGAGGAACAUGUGGUUUAAUUCGAUGAUACGCGAGGAACCUUACCCGGGCUCGAACGGCUAUAGAAUGCCUGUGAAAGCAGGUAGCCAGCGAUGGCUGUAGUCGAGGUGCUGCAUGGUUGUCGUCAGCUCGUGCCGUGAGGUGUCGGCUUAAGUGCCAUAACGAGCGCAACCCCUACCGUUAGUUACCAUCAGGUUAAGCUGGGGACUCUGACGGGACUGCCGCCGUAAGGUGCGAGGAAGGCGGGGAUGACGUCAAAUCAGCACGGCCCUUACGUCCGGGGCUACACACGUGUUACAAUGGGAGGGACAAAGGGUUGCUACCCCGCGAGAGGAUGCCAAUCCCCAAACCCUCUCCCAGUUCGGAUUGGAGUCUGCAACCCGACUCCAUGAAGCUGGAUUCGCUAGUAAUCGCGCAUCAGCCAUGGCGCGGUGAAUACGUUCCCGGGCCUU
RNAcentral lists this ribosomal RNA (855 nucleotides) under uncultured bacterium Gf10. RNAcentral's name for it is "SSU rRNA". It matches the Rfam family "Bacterial small subunit ribosomal RNA", at positions 524 to 1382 of the family's 1533-position model. The record is from RNAcentral. Lineage: Bacteria; Pseudomonadati; Bacteroidota; Bacteroidia; Bacteroidales; Bacteroidaceae.